UCCAGACUCCUACGGGAGGCAGCAGUGAGGAAUAUUGGUCAAUGGGCGCGAGCCUGAACCAGCCAAGUCGCGUGAGGGAAGACGGUCCUAUGGAUUGUAAACCUCUUUUGUCGGGGAGCAAAAGACGCCACGCGUGGCGUUCCGAGAGUACCCGAAGAAAAAGCAUCGGCUAACUCCGUGCCAGCAGCCGCGGUAAUACGGAGGAUGCGAGCGUUAUCCGGAUUUAUUGGGUGUAAAGGGUGCGUAGACGGGAAAGCAAGUUAGUUGUGAAAUCCCUCGGCUUAACUGAGGAACUGCAACUAAAACUACUUUUCUUGAGUGCAGGAGAGGUAAGUGGAAUUCCUAGUGUAGCGGUGAAAUGCGUAGAUAUUAGGAGGAACACCAGUGGCGAAGGCGACUUACUGGACUGUAACUGACGUUGAGGCACGAAAGUGUGGGGAGCAAACAGGAUUAGAUACCCUCGUAAA
RNAcentral lists this ribosomal RNA (467 nucleotides) under uncultured bacterium. RNAcentral describes it as "bacterial SSU rRNA". It matches the Rfam family "Bacterial small subunit ribosomal RNA", at positions 330 to 794 of the family's 1533-position model. The record is from RNAcentral.